Molecule: long non-coding RNA, 754 nt
Filed under: Gouania willdenowi (blunt-snouted clingfish)
Lineage: Eukaryota; Metazoa; Chordata; Actinopteri; Blenniiformes; Gobiesocidae
Description: lncRNA (ENSGWIG00000013904.1)
Source: RNAcentral
AAAAAGGUUGCUGCGCCUCGGACCGUAACCUCCCUGGGUCCUUCCUUCCGGUCAGCUGUUAAGGGGGGACCGGAAGCGGGGCGUCCCUCAAGUUAAAACCCACCGGGAUCCUCGUGCCCAGCCUACCGAUCCACUGCCUCUCCACAUACCGUCUCUGUCCAGUGGACCAGUAGGGGUUUCUCUGGAGGACCCGGAUCCGUCCAGAGGAGAUUCUUCUGGAUCCCAGAGACCCUGACGGAAUGCCAUCCAUGGAUGAGGAAGUGUUUGAAGGCCAAAUUGGAUGCUUUAAAGGGCCAGAUUUGGCCCCCGGGCCUUGAGUUGGACACGUGUGUUAGGGGCAGUGAGGGGAGUGGUUCUUACCUUGGCGUCAUGUUCCAGCAUUGGUUCAGUUGCUGACGUGACAAAGUCCUCGAGAUCCACGGCAUCCUCAACAUGUUCCAUGACGAUCAACAACUCAUCGUCAAGUUCAAUGGCCUCCUCAAAGCCAAUGAUGGCGGGGUUCAGCAGGCUGUUUUGGCCACACCCACCAGCCGCUUUCUUCAUCAGCAGCACCUCAUAAGCGCCUGACGUACAUUGAUUCAGGUUCUAAAGAAAACAAAGAGUUUCUACAAACAGCCCCAAACCUGGAAAUGUGAAUGUCUGCUAACAUUGAUGAGAAUACUUACAUUCAUCGACACAUAUGACACAUUGUCCCGUGGAAUGUGCUUUAUCGCUACCUGCAGGACAUAAAAACCAGCAUGUAAUGACAGCGUUG